CAAGCGAGUGGCGAACGGGUGAGUAACACGUGGAUAACCUGCCUCAAGGCUGGGGAUAACAUUUGGAAACAGAUGCUAAUACCGAAUAAAACUUAGUAUCGCAUGAUAUCAAGUUAAAAGGCGCUACGGCGUCACCUAGAGAUGGAUCCGCGGUGCAUUAGUUAGUUGGUGGGGUAAAGGCUUACCAAGACGAUGAUGCAUAGCCGAGUUGAGAGACUGAUCGGCCACAUUGGGACUGAGACACGGCCCAAACUCCUACGGGAGGCUGCAGUAGGGAAUCUUCCACAAUGGGCGCAAGCCUGAUGGAGCAACGCCGCGUGUGUGAUGAAGGCUUUCGGGUCGUAAAGCACUGUUGUAUGGGAAGAAAUGCUAAAAUAGGGAAUGAUUUUAGUUUGACGGUACCAUACCAGAAAGGGACGGCUAAAUACGUGCCAGCAGCCGCGGUAAUACGUAUGUCCCGAGCGUUAUCCGGAUUUAUUGGGCGUAAAGCGAGCGCAGACGGUUGAUUAAGUCUGAUGUGAAAGCCCGGAGCUCAACUCCGGAAUGGCAUUGGAAACUGGUUAACUUGAGUGUUGUAGAGGUAAGUGGAACUCCAUGUGUAGCGGUGGAAUGCGUAGAUAUAUGGAAGAACACCAGUGGCGAAGGCGGCUUACUGGACAACAACUGACGUUGAGGCUCGAAAGUGUGGGUAGCAAACAGGAUUAGAUACCCUGGUAGUCCACACCGUAAACGAUGAAUACUAGGUGUUAGGAGGUUUCCGCCUCUUAGUGCCGAAGCUAACGCAUUAAGUAUUCCGCCUGGGGAGUACGACCGCAAGGUUGAAACUCAAAGGAAUUGACGGGGACCCGCACAAGCGGUGGAGCAUGUGGUUUAAUUCGAAGCAACGCGAAGAACCUUACCAGGUCUUGACAUCCUUUGAAGCUUUUAGAGAUAGAAGUGUUCUCUUCGGAGACAAAGUGACAGGUGGUGCAUGGUCGUCGUCAGCUCGUGUCGUGAGAUGUUGGGU
Molecule: ribosomal RNA, 1006 nt
Filed under: Leuconostoc citreum
Lineage: Bacteria; Bacillati; Bacillota; Bacilli; Lactobacillales; Lactobacillaceae
Description: bacterial SSU rRNA
Rfam family: Bacterial small subunit ribosomal RNA
Source: RNAcentral